AUUCCAUAAGCAGCAAGAAGAUCAUCAAAUGGAUCAUGUGGUGCAUCAUACUCAAACUGCAAGAGUUAAAGUUAGGAGUCAUCAACAUGACAAGAAAAGCGAAGUGUGGCAAAAAGAAAAACAGAGGCAUACCAAUCUUUCCAGAAUAUUUUCUAAGAGAUGAUAUACCAACCAACACACUUAUCAACAAAAGAGGAAUUUCCACUGAAACAAGAACCAAAAACCCUAAGUUCCUUAACAACUAAGCCACUCAACUUGAAAAGAAAAACCAGAUCUAGACACUAAACCCUAAUACCAACCAACAUUUAUCAACAAAAGAGGAUUUUCGACUAAAACAAGAACCAAAACCCCUUAGCAACUAAGCCAUUCAGCUUGCAAAGAAAAACCAAAUCUAAACACAAAACACUAAAUCUUUAGCCAUUUCUAGUGAAAAAAUAGCAAUACAAAAAGGAAAAUACGAACCCUAACCCCAAAAAUCAUAGCCAUUGUCAUUGCAAACAAAGUAAGCCAAAACCCCAUUAUUGAAAAAAUGAAAAAUGAAAAAGCGAACCUCAGGCUCAAGGGCAUGCGAGUCAGCUAUCUCUACCAACUCCAGACCAGUCAGAAGGAAAACGACGCCAGGUGGCAUCUGUGAAUCAACUUCGGCCGUCGGCUCAUCGUCAUUUCUUGGCGCCGAAGCCAUUUGGAUUCUCAGGAAAGUUUUCUUUCGUUUCUUUCUUCGCUAUACAGUAACGCGUGCGUUUCGUUUUCUUUUUUUUUUUCUUUGCUCUUUUAAUUGGCGCCUGAUUCUUAAAUAGUUGUGUCUGUGUAAUCGCGACCGUUGAUUUGAUCAUUUACGCAAUCGUGACCAUCCAUCCAAUCACCGCCCCAUCAGCCAGCAUCCUAGACGCUCCAAAUGCAAAUCUUGUAAACUUGGAUUAUAUCUGAACCGUCCAUUUACUCCCUUGAUGCUUAUACAUAUCUCAUCCUUUCCCAAUUUAGCCAUUUGUUUGAGUCGAACUUUUGACCUGUGAUAUGAGAUUGGAGUGUACUGGAAUGAUGUAUAUCAAAUAAUUGAAAUAUGUUUGGGUAGUUGGAAGAGAGUGAUUUUAUUUUAGUUGCUUAAAUUGUUUCAAAUAUCUAUUAGUCCUGAUCUCUUGGACCACAGAGGUCCAAGAAAUUUUUGGUCACUCACCGUUGGAUGUAAAUUCAACGGUUCACUCACUCUUGAACUCAUUUUAAUAAACUUUUUUAUACCAUUAGAUUAAUAUCCAACGGUGGGUGACCACAAUCUCUUGGACUCCUGUGGUCCAAGAGAUCGGGACUGAAAUAUCUAUAUAUAUAAAGCAAAAGGCAGAGAAUGGUGAAACAUUCAAAAUACCAGAAAAUGCCCUCGGUUAAUGCAAACAUUAAGAAUUCAAAUUAUUAAUUAAAUAAGGAUAAUAUGAUAAAUUCACACUUUUUCAUAUUUAAAAAAAUUAAAAGAAAAAGAAAAAGCAGAUAAUGUAUCCUAUUUUUAUGGAACACAACUACCCAUUAUCUUUUUUAAUUCUAAAAUAAAUUUACUUAUUUUUUUAAAAAAACCGCUCGCAAGCGCGGAAGCGCGUGCAGAGAGGCUAGUAUCUAUAUAUAUAAAGCAAAAGGCAGAGAAUGGUGAAACAUUCAAAAUACCAGAAAAUGCCCUUGGUUAAUGCAAAUAUUAAGAAUUGAAAUUAUUAAUUAAAUGAGGAUAAUAUGAUAAAUUCACAAUUUUUUGUAUUAAAAAAAUUAAAAUUAAAAGAAAAUUCAGAUAAUGGGUCCUAUUUUUAUGGAACACAAAUAUUCAUUAUCUUUUUUUAAUUUUAAAAUAAAUUUAAAUUUUUUUUAAAAAAAACCUCUCGCAUGCGCGUGCAGAGAGGCUAGUAUAUAUAUAUAAAGCAAAAGGCAGAGAGCGGUGAAACAUUCAAAAUACCAGAAAAUGUCCUUAGUUAAUGCAAACUUUAAGAAUUGAAAUUAUUAAUUAAUUAGGAUAAUAUGGUAAAUUCACACUUUUUCAUAUUAAAAAAAUUAAAAUUAAAACAAAAAUCAGAUAAUGAAUCCUAUUUUCAUGGAACAUAACUACCCAUUAUCUUUUUUAAUUCUAAAAUAAAUUUAUAAUUUUUUAACAAUUUAUUUUAUUAUUUUUAAAUAAAUUACGAGCCUAUCUACUGCCCCGUCACUCAUUAACAUACUUAUUUAACGGCAGAGUAACUAUGAAUACGAAAAAUAGUAGAAAACCAAGAUUUAUGUACGAAGUUGACACAAUAAAUAUCAAUAAAAUAAAAAAAAAGUUUAGGUAGUAAAUUCAGUAAAUUAAAAUUUACCCAUAAAAAUAAUGAAAUAUUUCAAACACUUAAUUGAAGAAAAAGGUGAACUCCAAAUGUUACUGUUCACUUGUUUUGGUUUAAUCCUGUGAUUGUAGGGUAAAAUUUUCCAUUGACUUGAAAACCACUGGUGGCCAACAAAUCUACUUUCUUUAGUGUGCGAGCGUGCCACUGUCAGCAGUUAAAAAUCUUAACAAACCUAUGAAACAAAGAUAACUUGCGCUCCAAGUUACUGACUUAAACAAGUGAUUGUGCAUUUGGGUGAGGAAUAUCUCCCAAGUAAGUUCUUUUCUUGCCUUAUCACAGUAAACUGGUAGUUCUGGCCAGAAUGAAUAUUGAAAAUAAAUCAAACUGUUUUUCAAGAAAAACUGCCUAUUACACAAGUUUUAAGACAAAAGGGGACUGCCAUGUCUGAAGGGACAACAAAACAUUGGGUUUUGAUUUCGGUUUAGAUUUUUGCCUGUAACUUAGGUUGGAUUGGGUGUAUCUAUGCUGGAUUCAAACGUCAGCAUCUUCAACUGGUAAGGUUCAGCUGGAAAUCGAUACCAAUGUCGAGACUGGCAAAGCUUUAAUCUAUCCUAGCCAUGGAGAGGCUUGCUGGAUGGGCAUAAUUGAGAUUUCUUUAGUCUAGACGAGGCUGGAUUGAUGAUUUCUUGCCUGGACUACACCACAGUACAUGUGUUUGCUUGAUUAUGAAUCAUCCAAGAGCUAUUCUGGCAAUCCUGAGAGAUCAAGGCAUUUCUGUAAAUUUGUUGAGGUUUUUAUGUUAUGAAAAGCCCUAAUUAUGUUUGAUUUGGCUUGUGCUGAGCCAAAGUUGUAACGAGAGAAAUCUCGUUUUCUUUAUAAACUAUAUUUCUAAAUUGAAUUGGAAUCAGAAACCUUAGUUCUGGCUGAUCUGUCUUUUGUAAAUCAAAAGGUUUGAUUGCUUCAGAGUUUGAAGACCUUUUGGGAUCAACUGACCUUGUUUUGAAUUCGUCAGUGUGACCUUGAGUGUUUUUGUUUUGAUUGAAUUUUUUAACUGUCCUCUAACCCUGUUCACCUCCUAUUAUAUUUAUAGGGAGUAAAUGGACGGUUCAGAUAUAAUCCAAGUUUACAAGAUUUGCAUUUGGAGCGUCUAGGAUGCUGGCUGAUGGGGCGGUGAUUGGAUGGAUGGUCACGAUUGCGUAAAUGAUCAAAUCAACGGUCGCGAUUACACAGACACAACUAUUUAAGAAUCAGGCGCCAAUUAAAAGAGCAAAGAAAAAAAAAAAGAAAACGAAACGCACGCGUUACUGUAUAGCGAAGAAAGAAACGAAAGAAAACUUUCCUGAGAAUCCAAAUGGCUUCGGCGCCAAGAAAUGACGAUGAGCCGACGGCCGAAGUUGAUUCACAGAUGCCACCUGGCGUCGUUUUCCUUCUGACUGGUCUGGAGUUGGUAGAGAUAGCUGACUCGCAUG
Molecule: long non-coding RNA, 3757 nt
Filed under: Prunus persica (peach)
Lineage: Eukaryota; Viridiplantae; Streptophyta; Magnoliopsida; Rosales; Rosaceae
Description: long non-coding RNA (PPER_LNC001688)
Source: RNAcentral